Non-coding RNA from Sporolactobacillus inulinus CASD, 148 nucleotides. NCBI's taxonomy places the organism in Bacteria, Bacillati, Bacillota, Bacilli, Caryophanales, Sporolactobacillaceae. The record is from Rfam.
GGAUUCCCGUCGAGUAAGGUUAGCCACCCACUCGUAGCGAGUUUUGGAGGAUAGGAGGUAACUCCUAUCUUUAAGCGUAAACAGUUAGAUGAUUCGAUAAGUGACAGGCACCGAAAUGACUAUUUCAUUAUGCCUCGCUCAAAAAGCA